UUCGUUCAGAGGAGAGGAGGCCUACUAUAAAUAUGAGAGAGAGCCAUUUCGCCUCGCGAUCUCCGUCGGGCGCCGCUCGUUGGUCACUGGAAAGUUGGCUUCGGUGAGAAGGGGUUUAUACUCUUAGCUCCCUGUAUUGUGGUGUACGAUGGCAUUGACAGCACUUACAACUGUGUCUAUUGGAUCAGUUUGUGCUCAACCUAGGUUGGGAGCAAGACCCAAGGCCUCUGGCUUUGGUUUUACUUGCUCAAAGUCCUUCAAUGUUUUCAGUGGCCUGAAGGCAGCAUCCUCAGUUGGCAUCGAAGCAGAUACAUCCUUUUUGGGCAAGGAGGACAAUGCUUCUCUCCAGGCAUCUUUUGUUCCAAAGAUUAAACCAAAACAAGUUUUUCUAAAUCAACUCCACCCCCAUGCAUCCUCGUUUAAGGUGGCUGUCCUUGGGGCUGCUGGUGGGAUUGGCCAACCUCUAGGACUUCUGAUUAAGAUGUCUCCUCUGGUCUCAGCAUUGCAUCUUUAUGAUAUUGCGAAUGUUAAAGGAGUAGCUGCAGAUCUCAGCCAUUGCAAUAGCCCUGCUCAAGUUUUGGAUUUCACUGGACAAUCAGAAUUAGCCAAAUGUCUGAAAGGAGUUGAUGUUGUUGUCAUUCCCGCAGGAGUGCCAAGGAAGCCAGGCAUGACACGGGAUGAUUUAUUCAACAUCAAUGCUGGCAUUGUAAAGACGCUGAUUGAGGCUGUUGCAGACAAUUGUCCUGAUGCCUUCAUCCACAUCAUCAGCAACCCAGUAAACUCCACUGUUCCCAUAGCUGCAGAGGUACUCAAGCAAAAGGGAGUCUAUGAUCCUAAGAAGCUUUUUGGUGUGACCACCCUUGAUGUUGUUAGAGCUAACACUUUUGUUGCUCAAAAGAAGAACCUAAAGCUUGUCGAUGUGGAUGUACCAGUUAUAGGGGGUCAUGCUGGCAUUACUAUUUUACCAUUGUUGUCGAAGACAAGACCAUCAACAACAUUUGCCGAUGAUGAGGUUGAAGAGCUGACUCUAAGAAUACAGAAUGCUGGCACAGAGGUUGUCGAGGCAAAAGCCGGUGCUGGAUCCGCAACCCUGUCCAUGGCCUAUGCAGCAGCACGGUUUGUUGAAGCGUCACUUCAUGCUCUUGACAGUGACGGGGAUGUUUAUGAGUGCUCCUUUGUAGAGUCUGAUCUAACUGAGCUGCCUUUCUUUGCAUCAAGAGUCAAGAUCGGAAAGAAAGGUAUAGAAGCCAUUGUAUCUUCUGAUCUCCAGGGUCUGACAGAGUAUGAGACCAAUGCACUGGAAGCAUUAAAGCCGGAGUUGCAGGCUAGCAUUGAGAAGGGCAUGGCAUUUGUUCACAAGCAGGCAGUAAAUGCUGAAUCUGCUUAAGUUUUGAUAUUGUAUCUUUUUUUUUUCUUUAUCAGUAGUCUUGCAAGAACAGAAUAAAAACAGGGAUGGUCAAGGCAGUCCAGUUUGAUGCUAAAGCAGGUUUCCAUGUUCUAAGCUCGAGAAGUUAUGCCCUUGAGGAGAUUCGAGAGAAGUUAAGCUGUUUUCAGCGAUAUUAGAGGGAAGAGAGAACUGAGCAAUGACCAAGGAAGGACGGUUCUUUCGGCAACUGCAUUGGCCUUUGAGCAGCAACUUGGAGGGAGGAACCCCUAUAGAGUUCCAAGGAGGCCGAUCCCUUAAAGAGAUCAACCCCAAGUUUAGAAUCUGUAAGGGUUCAAUCACCUGGUAUCAGAGCAGCGUUCUUGGCGUCUCGCUGCCCUUCCACAGUCAUCCAUCAACCCUCUACAACCAUCCAAAGCAAUUCCCACAAUUGCUUAAAAGAUUGUCACCGAAUUUCGCCAUCAUCUCCACCACCGCGGAUCAUCCUUUGAUCUCCCCGUUAAUUGCAACAGGUUCUGGUUUCCUACCUUACUGCUGCUGCAAUUUAGUUAUCCUUAUUCGAAAAUAAAAAAAAAAUCGUUCUUAUAUUGCUGCAUAAACU
This is an RNA transcript of Musa acuminata AAA Group (dessert banana), 1985 nucleotides long. It is a transcript of the gene named malate dehydrogenase, chloroplastic-like, with no coding region annotated. Lineage: Eukaryota; Viridiplantae; Streptophyta; Magnoliopsida; Zingiberales; Musaceae. The record is from RefSeq and is a predicted model, not a curated record. The transcript is spliced from 3 exons.